RNAcentral lists this ribosomal RNA (421 nucleotides) under uncultured bacterium. RNAcentral's name for it is "bacterial SSU rRNA". It matches the Rfam family "Bacterial small subunit ribosomal RNA", at positions 355 to 787 of the family's 1533-position model. The record is from RNAcentral.
UGGGGAAUAUUGCACAAUGGGGAAGACCCUGAUGCAGCGACGCCGCGUGAAGGAUGAAGUAUUUCGGUAUGUAAAUCUUCUAUCAGCAGGGAAGAAAAUGACGGUACCUGACUAAGAAGCCCCGGCUAACUACGUGCCAGCAGCCGCGGUAAUACGUAGGGGGCAAGCGUUAUCCGGAUUUACUGGGUGUAAAGGGAGCGUAGACGGCAUGGCAAGUCUGAAGUGAAAGCCCGGGGCGUCAACCCCAGGGCAGCUGUUUGGAAAUACUGUCAGGCUAGAGUGCUGGAGAGGUAAGUGGAAUUCCUAGUGUAGCGGUGAAAUGCGUAGAUAUUAGGAGGAACACCAGUGGCGAAGGCGGCUUACUGGACAGUGACUGACGUUGAGGCUCGAAAGCGUGGGGAGCAAACAGGAUUAGAUACCC